GUGAGGAAUAUUGGUCAAUGGACGAGAGUCUGAACCAGCCAAGUAGCGUGAAGGAUGACUGCCCUAUGGGUUGUAAACUUCUUUUAUACGGGAAUAAAGUGAGGCACGUGUGCCUUUUUGUAUGUACCGUAUGAAUAAGGAUCGGCUAACUCCGUGCCAGCAGCCGCGGUAAUACGGAGGAUCCGAGCGUUAUCCGGAUUUAUUGGGUUUAAAGGGAGCGUAGGCGGACGCUUAAGUCAGUUGUGAAAGUUUGCGGCUCAACCGUAAAAUUGCAGUUGAUACUGGGUGUCUUGAGUACAGUAGAGGCAGGCGGAAUUCGUGGUGUAGCGGUGAAAUGCUUAGAUAUCACGAAGAACUCCGAUUGCGAAGGCAGCCUGCUGGACUGUAACUGACGCUGAUGCUCGAAAGUGUGGGUAUCAAACAGGA
RNAcentral lists this ribosomal RNA (426 nucleotides) under uncultured bacterium. RNAcentral's name for it is "bacterial SSU rRNA". It matches the Rfam family "Bacterial small subunit ribosomal RNA", at positions 354 to 777 of the family's 1533-position model. The record is from RNAcentral.